GCAAGUCUUUUGUUAAUACCAUAAGGGUCUCUGGCCCAAUGAGUGGAGUGUGUUAGUAAUUCUUGC
Small nucleolar RNA from Panthera pardus (leopard), 66 nucleotides. The record is from Ensembl. Lineage: Eukaryota; Metazoa; Chordata; Mammalia; Carnivora; Felidae.